UGGGGAAUUUUGGACAAUGGGCGAAAGCCUGAUCCAGCAAUGCCGCGUGUGUGAAGAAGGCCUUCGGGUUGUAAAGCACUUUUGUCCGGAAAGAAAUCCUUGGCUCUAAUACAGUCGGGGGAUGACGGUACCGGAAGAAUAAGCACCGGCUAACUACGUGCCAGCAGCCGCGGUAAUACGUAGGGUGCAAGCGUUAAUCGGAAUUACUGGGCGUAAAGCGCGCGCAGGCGGUUUGCUAAGACCGAUGUGAAAUCCCCGGGCUCAACCUGGGAACUGCAUUGGUGACUGGCAGGCUAGAGUAUGGCAGAGGGGGAUAGAAUUCCACGUGUAGCAGUGAAAUGCGUAGAGAUGUGGAGGAAUACCGAUGGCGAAGGCAGCCCCCUGGGCCAAUACUGACGCUCAUGCACGAAAGCGUGGGGAGCAAACAGGAUUAGAUACCCUGGUAGUCCACGCCCUAAACGAUGUCAACUAGUUGUUGGGGAUUCAUUUCCUUAGUAACGUAGCUAACGCGUGAAGUUGACCGCCUGGGGAGUACGGUCGCAAGAUUAAAACUUAAAUGAAUUGACGGGGUCAUAGCUGUUUCCU
RNAcentral lists this ribosomal RNA (585 nucleotides) under uncultured bacterium. Its description in RNAcentral is "partial 16S ribosomal RNA". It matches the Rfam family "Bacterial small subunit ribosomal RNA", at positions 355 to 1375 of the family's 1533-position model. The record is from RNAcentral.